AUACGGAGGGUGCAAGCGUUGUUCGGAAUCACUGGGCGUAAAGGGCGCGCAGGCGGUUUGGUAAGUCAGAUGUGAAAGCCCACGGCUCAACCGUGGAAGUGCAUUUGAAACUGCCAGACUUGAGUACCAGAGGGGAAAGUGGAAUUCCCGGUGUAGAGGUGAAAUCCGUAGAUAUCGGGAGGAAUACCGGUGGCGAAGGCGACUUUCUGGCUGGAUACUGACGCUGAGGCGCGAAAGCGUGGGGAGCAAACAGGAUUAGAUACCCGAGUAGUCC
Molecule: ribosomal RNA, 274 nt
Filed under: uncultured bacterium
Lineage: Bacteria
Description: partial 16S ribosomal RNA
Rfam family: Bacterial small subunit ribosomal RNA
Source: RNAcentral